This 253-nucleotide ribosomal RNA is filed under the name uncultured bacterium. RNAcentral describes it as "partial 16S ribosomal RNA". It matches the Rfam family "Bacterial small subunit ribosomal RNA", at positions 524 to 776 of the family's 1533-position model. The record is from RNAcentral.
UACGUAGGUGGCAAGCGUUGUCCGGAUUUACUGGGUGUAAAGGGCGCGUAGGCGGGAAUACAAGUCAGAUGUGAAAUCUGGGGGCUUAACCCUCAAACUGCAUUUGAAACUGUGUUUCUUGAGUGAUGGAGAGGCAGGCGGAAUUCCUAGUGUAGCGGUGAGAUGCGUAGAUAUUAGGAGGAACACCAGUGGCGAAGGCGGCCUGCUGGACAUUAACUGACGCUGAGGCGCGAAAGCGUGGGGAGCAAACAGG